This 507-nucleotide ribosomal RNA is filed under the name uncultured Bacteroidota bacterium. RNAcentral's name for it is "bacterial SSU rRNA". It matches the Rfam family "Bacterial small subunit ribosomal RNA", at positions 355 to 863 of the family's 1533-position model. The record is from RNAcentral. Lineage: Bacteria; Pseudomonadati; Bacteroidota.
UGAGGAAUAUUGGACAAUGGAGGCAACUCUGAUCCAGCCAUGCCGCGUGCAGGAAGACGGCCCUAUGGGUUGUAAACUGCUUUUAUACAGGAAGAAACACUCCCUCGUGAGGGAGCUUGACGGUACUGUAAGAAUAAGGACCGGCUAACUCCGUGCCAGCAGCCGCGGUAAUACGGAGGGUCCGAGCGUUAUCCGGAAUCAUUGGGUUUAAAGGGUCCGUAGGCGGAUUAUUAAGUCAGAGGUGAAAUCCCACAGCUUAACUGUGGAACUGCCUUUGAAACUGAUAGUCUUGAGUUACCUGGAAGUAGAUAGAAUGUGUAGUGUAGCGGUGAAAUGCUUAGAGAUUACACAGAAUACCGAUUGCGAAGGCAGUCUACUACGAGUAUACUGACGCUAAUGGACGAAAGCGUGGGGAGCGAACAGGAUUAGAUACCCUGGUAGUCCACGCCGUAAACGAUGGACACUCGUUGUUGGGAUUUAUUCUCAGUGACUAAGCGAAAGUGAUAA